AGCUUUGCACAGUGGCAGUAUCGUAGCCAAUGAGGUUUAUCCGAGGUGCGAUUAUUGCUAAUUGAAAACUUUUCCUAAAACAAAUUGGUUUGAAUAAUACUCACCAGAAAAAGCUGUCAAGAAUCAGUACGCUGUAAAAGACUUCAUAACAUUAAAGCUUUGUUAUUAAAGUUUUUGGGAAACUUACCCUAACUAGCAUAAUACCAACCUGUAUGU
This 216-nucleotide small nuclear RNA is filed under the name Zalophus californianus (California sea lion). RNAcentral describes it as "U4 spliceosomal RNA (ENSZCAG00015007669.1)". The stretch from base 1 to 116 matches the Rfam family "U4 spliceosomal RNA". From Rfam's summary of the family: U4 small nuclear RNA (U4 snRNA) is a component of the major U2-dependent spliceosome. The structure of U4 snRNA from yeast and human has been reported. Lineage: Eukaryota; Metazoa; Chordata; Mammalia; Carnivora; Otariidae. The record is from RNAcentral.